This 459-nucleotide ribosomal RNA is filed under the name uncultured bacterium. RNAcentral describes it as "partial 16S ribosomal RNA". It matches the Rfam family "Bacterial small subunit ribosomal RNA", at positions 338 to 795 of the family's 1533-position model. The record is from RNAcentral.
CCUACGGGUGGCAGCAGUGAGGAAUAUUGGUCAAUGGCCGAGAGUCUGAACCAGCCAAGUCGCGUGAGGGAAGACGGCCCUACGUGUUGUAAACUUCUUUUGUCGCGGAGCAAAACAAGCCACGUGUGCUUCUUUGAAUGUCCCUUAAGAAAACGCAUCGUCUAACUCCGUGCCAGCAGCCGCGGUAAUACGGAGGAUGCGAGCGUUAUCAGGAUUUAUUGGGGUUAAAGGGUGCGCAGGGGGAUGUGCUAGUCAACGGUAAACUUGCGGGGCUCAACCCCGUACUGCGGUUGAAACUGGAUGCCUUGAGUGCGGGAGAAGUAUGCGGAAUGCGUGGUGUAGCGGUGAAAUGCAUAGAUAUCACGCAGAACUCCGAUUGCGAAGGCAGCAUACCGGCGCGCAACUGACGCUCAUGCACGAAAGCGUGGGUAUCGAACAGGAUUAGAUACCCGGGUAGUC